Long non-coding RNA from Vidua chalybeata, 694 nucleotides. RefSeq lists it as uncharacterized. The record is from RefSeq and is a predicted model, not a curated record. NCBI's taxonomy places the organism in Eukaryota, Metazoa, Chordata, Aves, Passeriformes, Viduidae. The transcript is spliced from 3 exons.
AAGGCUUUUCCUCUCUCCUCCCUCUCUCUUCCUCCCGCUGGAUCUCUCUGGGGUGCGCGGGGGGCCAUGACCGGACCCCUGUGCAUCCGGGGGGGCUGAGGCGUCCCCUCUCACCCUCGUCCUGCGGAGAGCCCGUCGCCGAGCGCGGGGACCGUCGUCCAGAAAGAGCCUGUCAUUUUAUCUUGGGGUUUCUCGGAACCGCUGAGCGAGCCAGACGCUGCGGCCGCUUCCGCCCUUCUCGGUGGAGCAGCUGCUGCCGGUGGCUUUCCCCUCCGCUGGCCAAGUGCAUCACCGGGGACGCGGAUCCGGGAGUGCUUGAGGAAGAUUUGUACUUUUCCCAGAGAAGGGUUUUUCUUGCUGUGUCUUUUGCCUCAGCCAGGCCCAGAAGUGGAUCAAACCAGUCCUGCACUGUUGUAUUUAGUCCAUAGCAAAACUCCCUUUGAGGAAGAUUCUGCAGACUUAAGGACUGAGGAGUUAGGACCGGGAGCUAAGGAAAGGACAUGAAUAACUUCCAUCAUAGAUGGUUUUAAAAAGCCAGCUGCUCUCUACAGUCAAGCCAAAACUAAGGGGAGAUGGUCUGAGGUUUAGAAAUAUGCAGGAAAAUUUUCACACUAAAUAUGAAAAAUGAGAAAUUAUCUUAACAUAUUGUAACUUGUCAUAAAAAUACAUGUUCCUUUCCAGCUUUAAAAGAGGA